This 213-nucleotide unclassified non-coding RNA is filed under the name Hevea brasiliensis (rubber tree). Lineage: Eukaryota; Viridiplantae; Streptophyta; Magnoliopsida; Malpighiales; Euphorbiaceae. The record is from RNAcentral.
ACACAAAUAUAUGGAAUUUUAAUGGAUGUUCUGAAGUAUGAACUAACAAAUUGAUCAUUUGUUGUGCAAAAUUUGCUUCAUUGCUUUGUCAAGAUGAGGCUUGCCUAAGAUAAACACGCUUAGUUUGUAAAGAAAGCACAUCAGCUUAUGUGAAGAUUUGGUGUACUCAAGCAGUUAAUAUUUAUUGAUUUUAUUCUUAUUUCCUAAUAUAAG